RNAcentral lists this long non-coding RNA (1638 nucleotides) under Anolis carolinensis (green anole). Its description in RNAcentral is "lncRNA (ENSACAG00000041375.1)". The record is from RNAcentral. Lineage: Eukaryota; Metazoa; Chordata; Lepidosauria; Squamata; Anolidae.
AUGCGACAGCACUGGUGCAGCUUCUCCAGGCUUCCCAUGGCCUCCCUCCUGGCAUUGAUGAUACUGCUGGGGAAAGCCUCUCCUACCCUCCUUUCCACUGAAAAGCCUGCAAAUGGUGAGGGAGUCCGACUCCUAAGGAGAGUGGAAUCCCACAAUUAUGAAUUGAAUAUUCAUGAACAAGCUCUCCCAAUAUCCUUCCUUUGGAUGGUCUGGAGGGACCAUAGUCCCACACAAAAGGCCUGGACUUUAUUUAAACUACAUUGGGCAAUAUAGAGUACAUGCUAGCACUUCCGUAAACCUUUCUUACUCCCCAUUUAUGGCCGUUCUUCAUGUGAUCUUUAUGUGAGCCAGAACUCGGAUACCAGAGUGCACAGAAAGCUUCCACAUGAGGAAAGAAGAUGGCUGGCUAAUCACCUGGAAAACUGAACAGGAGCAUUUCAAGACUGUGACAUUUCAUUGCAGGUCUCCCUUUAUGUUUGAAUUGCAAGAUAUCCUGGCAAUUAUUUCUCUCUGUCCAAGCAUUUCAGAACAUCUGUUUACUUUGCAAAGAAACUGCCAGUGUGAUGAGAGGUGAAUUGAUUCAAUCUGUGCUACUUUUCUUUAACUCUUGAGGAUCACUGGUCAACACACAUCUGUUAUCACUUACCAAGAUCAUACAGCCAUGGAAUUUGGUGGUUUUGGCAUGCCCAUGAAUAACCCUUACAUUUUUUCCCAUCCAAUCCAGAUCUUUCCAUCUCAGUGAUUAUUUGGGGCCAGACCAUAAAUAAAUCAAGGAUGAAUACAGAGAAAAAUGUAUUAAAGAUUGACCAUCAGUCUUUACACUUGGAGACACUUCCAUACUUUCUAAUUCAAUGCAUGAUCCAAAACACAAUUGGCUAUCCAUAUCUGCAUUUUUUUUAAAUUUCACUCCAGUUAAAAUUAUACAAGCAUGUACAUGUUUGUAAAAUUACCUUACAUAAAUAUCAGACAUAUUUAUCUUGGUGAAACCUUUAGAUAAAAUCCUAAAUAUUAAGAAAAAUAUGCAUGGAAGUAUGCAAAAUUUCUUGUAGAUUUGCUUUUUAAAAAAAUAAAAAAUAAAAUCCAAGCUGUUCUGGAAAUGGAACAAAAUAAUUUUAAGGUCAGAGAAGAAAAAAUGAGAGAAAACCCAAAAAUGCCAGAGCUAGAAAUUCACAGAAAAAGUGCUAAUGGAAAUUAGCUUUACUUGGCCAUCAGAUUCAAAAGCACUGUGAUUGUUGAAUUUGGAUCUUCAGAAAUCACCAGCGUCCAUUCAGAAAGGUACACCCAAAAUAUCAGUAGUUUUCACCAGCAUUGAUGUAGCAGUGCUAGCUGGAGAUUCUGGGAAUUGUAGUUAAAAUUAUUAUUUCUUACCCGCCUCUGCUUGUAGGUUGAGUUGGAUUACAGAAUAAUUAAAACACAAACAUUGUAAAAAUACCACAAAUAAACAUAUUCAAAUGUGUUUGUAUAAAAUAUACUUAAUAAAAUGUGUUUCUAUAAAAUACAUAUUAAAAUACAGAGAUUAAACCAAGGACGCACAUUUAAAAUUCAUAUUUAAAAAUUGGGUGGGUGAUGAAAAGGUGCUCUGGGUGAUGAAAAGGUGCUCUGGGUGAUGGUUGCCAGUUGGGUUAUGGUUGGUUGGAG